This 762-nucleotide long non-coding RNA is filed under the name Pan troglodytes (chimpanzee). RNAcentral describes it as "lincRNA". The record is from RNAcentral. Lineage: Eukaryota; Metazoa; Chordata; Mammalia; Primates; Hominidae.
ACAAUUCUUACCUGAGAGGUUCAUGUUGAAAUGAAUGAUUUCUGGCCAGUUUGCGUAUAAUCUGUGUAAAGGUAAAUCAGAAAAAUGUGUGUCCAGGGCACCUUGAAGGCCAGAGUGAUGUGGUAUGAUAUUAAAUCAUUAGACAUAUAAAUAUUAAAAAUGAGAAGAUUUUGUUAGAAUGGAAACGGCUCACCAAAAGGCAGAGACAAGAAUGCAAACAGUAAGUCUAGCUGUCAUUCUCUGUAAUCUGGAGCAAGUCAGGUUUGUCUCUGGACCUUCUCCAGUUGUUUUACAACUUUCUAGACGUGCAGUGUAUCAACCCAACACUUUUAUUAAGCAGCUUCGACAGGGUUUUUGAGAUGACAGCUAGUCGAGAUUCAACUUAGCAUUGUACAGUUUUAUUUCACAAUUGGAACUUUCGGUUUUUAAUACUUUUAGGACUUUACUCAUUAAUGCAACACACUUUUUGUUGAACACCUACUAUGUACCAGGGAUUGAUAUAGCUGUAAAUACGACAUACUUAGUCUCUGUCUUUGUAGUACUUUAAUUCCUGUAACACUUGUUAAACUGGAUUAUUUUUAUGACCGUAGAGAAUUAGAGGGGGUGAGGGAUUUUAUUAUAUUAAAAUUGCAAUUUGAGUCUCUAGAUUUUAAAAAAUUUGUUCUUGGUCCUAAUUUCUGGUUUUUAGCCCUCCUAAUUUAGAAUUGUUUUUGAGUGCUGUUUAGCUUCUGCGACCAUUAAUAAAACUAAAAAUCUAACCAU